GACGAACGCUGGCGGCGUGCUUAACACAUGCAAGUCGUACGGUAAGGCCCUUUCGGGGGUCCACGAGUGGCGCACGGGUGCGUAACACGUGAGUAACCUGCCCACAACUUUGGGAUAACGCUAGGAAACUGGUGCUAAUACUGGAUAUGUGCUCCUGCUGCAUGGUGGGGGUUGGAAAGCUCCGGCGGUUGUGGAUGGACUCGCGGCCUAUCAGCUUGUUGGUGGGGUAGUGGCCUACCAAGGCGGCGACGGGUAGCCGGCGUGAGAGGGUGACCGGCCACAGUGAGACUGAGAUACGGCCCAGACUCCUACGGGAGGCAGCAGUGGGGAAUAGUGCACAAUGGGCGCAAGCCUGAUGCAGCAACGCCGCGUGCGGGAUGACGGCCUUCGGGUUGUAAACCGCUUUCAGCAGGGACGAAGCUUUUUGUGACGGUACCUGCAGAAGAAGCACCGGCUAACUACGUG
RNAcentral lists this ribosomal RNA (465 nucleotides) under uncultured bacterium. Its description in RNAcentral is "partial 16S ribosomal RNA". It matches the Rfam family "Bacterial small subunit ribosomal RNA", at positions 28 to 507 of the family's 1533-position model. The record is from RNAcentral.